This 259-nucleotide ribosomal RNA is filed under the name uncultured soil bacterium. RNAcentral describes it as "partial 16S ribosomal RNA". It matches the Rfam family "Bacterial small subunit ribosomal RNA", at positions 26 to 284 of the family's 1533-position model. The record is from RNAcentral.
AGGACGAACGCUGGCGGCGUGCUUAACACAUGCAAGUCGAACGGUGAACCCCGCUUGCGGGGGGAUCAGUGGCGAACGGGUGAGUAACACGUGGGCAACCUGCCCUCAGCUCUGGGAUAACUCCAAGAAAUUGGGGCUAAUACUGGAUACGACCGCUGACCGCAUGGUCUGGUGGUGGAAAGAUUUAUCGGCUGGGGAUGGGCCCGCGGCCUAUCAGCUUGUUGGUGGGGUAGUGGCCUACCGAAAGGCGACGACGGGU